GGGAAUAUUGCACAAUGGGCGAAAGCCUGAUGCAGCAACGCCGCGUGAGUGAUGAAGGUCUUCGGAUUGUAAAGCUCUGUCUUUUGGGACGAUAAUGACGGUACCAAAGGAGGAAGCCACGGCUAACUACGUGCCAGCAGCCGCGGUAAUACGUAGGUGGCGAGCGUUGUCCGGAUUUACUGGGCGUAAAGGGUGCGUAGGCGGAUGUUUAAGUGAGAUGUGAAAUACCCGGGCUUAACUUGGGUGCUGCAUUUCAAACUGGAUAUCUAGAGUGCAGGAGAGGAGAAUGGAAUUCCUAGUGUAGCGGUGAAAUGCGUAGAGAUUAGGAAGAACACCAGUGGCGAAGGCGAUUCUCUGGACUGUAACUGACGCUGAGGCACGAAAGCGUGGGUAGCAAACAGGAUUAGAUACCCUGGUAGUCCACGCCGUAAACGAUGAGUACUAGGUGUAGGAGGUAUCGACCCCUUCUGUGCCGCAGUAAACACAUUAAGUACUCCGCCUGGGAAGUACGAUCGCAAGAUUAAAAC
RNAcentral lists this ribosomal RNA (527 nucleotides) under uncultured bacterium. RNAcentral describes it as "partial 16S ribosomal RNA". It matches the Rfam family "Bacterial small subunit ribosomal RNA", at positions 357 to 900 of the family's 1533-position model. The record is from RNAcentral.